Molecule: transfer RNA, 85 nt
Filed under: Wolfiporia cocos MD-104 SS10
Lineage: Eukaryota; Fungi; Basidiomycota; Agaricomycetes; Polyporales; Phaeolaceae
Description: tRNA-Thr
Rfam family: tRNA
About the family: Transfer RNA (tRNA) molecules are approximately 80 nucleotides in length. Their secondary structure includes four short double-helical elements and three loops (D, anti-codon, and T loops).
Source: RNAcentral
UCCCGUUUAGCUCAGCUGGUAGAGCGCGUCACUAGUAUUAAUUCAUGAUAUGACGAGGUCAGUCGUUCGAGUCGGCUAAUGGGAA